This 305-nucleotide ribosomal RNA is filed under the name uncultured bacterium. Its description in RNAcentral is "bacterial SSU rRNA". It matches the Rfam family "Bacterial small subunit ribosomal RNA", at positions 337 to 635 of the family's 1533-position model. The record is from RNAcentral.
GCCUACGGGGGGUAGCAGUAGGGAAUUUUCGUCAAUGGGCGCAAGCCUGAACGAGCAAUGCCGCGUGAACGAGGAAGGUCUUCGGAUCGUAAAGUUCUGUUGAAGGGGAAAAAGAGCGGAGAGAGGAAAUGGUCUCCGAUUGAUAUUACCCUUCGAGGAAGUCACGGCUAACUACGUGCCAGCAGCCGCGGUAAUACGUAGGUGGCGAGCGUUAUCCGGAAUGAUUGGGCGUAAAGGGUGCGUAGGCGGCCUGCUAAGUCUGGAGUGAAAGGUACCGGCUCAACCGGUACAGGCUCUGGAAACUG